This 2333-nucleotide ribosomal RNA is filed under the name Escherichia coli. RNAcentral's name for it is "partial 23S ribosomal RNA". It matches the Rfam family "Bacterial large subunit ribosomal RNA", at positions 319 to 2640 of the family's 2925-position model. Lineage: Bacteria; Pseudomonadati; Pseudomonadota; Gammaproteobacteria; Enterobacterales; Enterobacteriaceae. The record is from RNAcentral.
AGUGUGUGUGUUAGUGGAAGCGUCUGGAAAGGCGUGCGAUACAGGGUGACAGCCCCGUACACAAAAAUGCACAUAUUGUGAGCUCGAUGAGUAGGGCGGGACACGUGGUAUCCUGUCUGAAUAUGGGGGGACCAUCCUCCAAGGCUAAAUACUCCUGACUGACCGAUAGUGAACCAGUACCGUGAGGGAAAGGCGAAAAGAACCCCGGCGAGGGGAGUGAAAAAGAACCUGAAACCGUGUACGUACAAGCAGUGGGAGCACGCUUAGGCGUGUGACUGCGUACCUUUUGUAUAAUGGGUCAGCGACUUAUAUUCUGUAGCAAGGUUAACCGAAUAGGGGAGCCGAAGGGAAACCGAGUCUUAACUGGGCGUUAAGUUGCAGGGUAUAGACCCGAAACCCGGUGAUCUAGCCAUGGGCAGGUUGAAGGUUGGGUAACACUAACUGGAGGACCGAACCGACUAAUGUUGAAAAAUUAGCGGAUGACUUGUGGCUGGGGGUGAAAGGCCAAUCAAACCGGGAGAUAGCUGGUUCUCCCCGAAAGCUAUUUAGGUAGCGCCUCGUGAAUUCAUCUCCGGGGGUAGAGCACUGUUUCGGCAAGGGGGUCAUCCCGACUUACCAACCCGAUGCAAACUGCGAAUACCGGAGAAUGUUAUCACGGGAGACACACGGCGGGUGCUAACGUCCGUCGUGAAGAGGGAAACAACCCAGACCGCCAGCUAAGGUCCCAAAGUCAUGGUUAAGUGGGAAACGAUGUGGGAAGGCCCAGACAGCCAGGAUGUUGGCUUAGAAGCAGCCAUCAUUUAAAGAAAGCGUAAUAGCUCACUGGUCGAGUCGGCCUGCGCGGAAGAUGUAACGGGGCUAAACCAUGCACCGAAGCUGCGGCAGCGACGCUUAUGCGUUGUUGGGUAGGGGAGCGUUCUGUAAGCCUGCGAAGGUGUGCUGUGAGGCAUGCUGGAGGUAUCAGAAGUGCGAAUGCUGACAUAAGUAACGAUAAAGCGGGUGAAAAGCCCGCUCGCCGGAAGACCAAGGGUUCCUGUCCAACGUUAAUCGGGGCAGGGUGAGUCGACCCCUAAGGCGAGGCCGAAAGGCGUAGUCGAUGGGAAACAGGUUAAUAUUCCUGUACUUGGUGUUACUGCGAAGGGGGGACGGAGAAGGCUAUGUUGGCCGGGCGACGGUUGUCCCGGUUUAAGCGUGUAGGCUGGUUUUCCAGGCAAAUCCGGAAAAUCAAGGCUGAGGCGUGAUGACGAGGCACUACGGUGCUGAAGCAACAAAUGCCCUGCUUCCAGGAAAAGCCUCUAAGCAUCAGGUAACAUCAAAUCGUACCCCAAACCGACACAGGUGGUCAGGUAGAGAAUACCAAGGCGCUUGAGAGAACUCGGGUGAAGGAACUAGGCAAAAUGGUGCCGUAACUUCGGGAGAAGGCACGCUGAUAUGUAGGUGAAGUCCCUCGCGGAUGGAGCUGAAAUCAGUCGAAGAUACCAGCUGGCUGCAACUGUUUAUUAAAAACACAGCACUGUGCAAACACGAAAGUGGACGUAUACGGUGUGACGCCUGCCCGGUGCCGGAAGGUUAAUUGAUGGGGUUAGCGCAAGCGAAGCUCUUGAUCGAAGCCCCGGUAAACGGCGGCCGUAACUAUAACGGUCCUAAGGUAGCGAAAUUCCUUGUCGGGUAAGUUCCGACCUGCACGAAUGGCGUAAUGAUGGCCAGGCUGUCUCCACCCGAGACUCAGUGAAAUUGAACUCGCUGUGAAGAUGCAGUGUACCCGCGGCAAGACGGAAAGACCCCGUGAACCUUUACUAUAGCUUGACACUGAACAUUGAGCCUUGAUGUGUAGGAUAGGUGGGAGGCUUUGAAGUGUGGACGCCAGUCUGCAUGGAGCCGACCUUGAAAUACCACCCUUUAAUGUUUGAUGUUCUAACGUGGACCCGUAAUCCGGGUUGCGGACAGUGUCUGGUGGGUAGUUUGACUGGGGCGGUCUCCUCCUAAAGAGUAACGGAGGAGCACGAAGGUUGGCUAAUCCUGGUCGGACAUCAGGAGGUUAGUGCAAUGGCAUAAGCCAGCUUGACUGCGAGCGUGACGGCGCGAGCAGGUGCGAAAGCAGGUCAUAGUGAUCCGGUGGUUCUGAAUGGAAGGGCCAUCGCUCAACGGAUAAAAGGUACUCCGGGGAUAACAGGCUGAUACCGCCCAAGAGUUCAUAUCGACGGCGGUGUUUGGCACCUCGAUGUCGGCUCAUCACAUCCUGGGGCUGAAGUAGGUCCCAAGGGUAUGGCUGUUCGCCAUUUAAAGUGGUACGCGAGCUGGGUUUAGAACGUCGUGAGACAGUUCGGUCCCUA